This 1293-nucleotide ribosomal RNA is filed under the name Flavobacterium sp. PN22. Its description in RNAcentral is "bacterial SSU rRNA". It matches the Rfam family "Bacterial small subunit ribosomal RNA", at positions 105 to 1404 of the family's 1533-position model. The record is from RNAcentral. Lineage: Bacteria; Pseudomonadati; Bacteroidota; Flavobacteriia; Flavobacteriales; Flavobacteriaceae.
GGUGCGUAACGCGUAUGCAAUCUGCCUUUCACAGAGGGAUAGCCCAGAGAAAUUUGGAUUAAUACCUCAUAGUAUUAUGGAAGGGCAUCCUUUUAUAAUUAAAGUCACAACGGUGAAAGAUGAGCAUGCGUCCCAUUAGUUAGUUGGUAAGGUAACGGCUUACCAAGACUUCGAUGGGUAGGGGUCCUGAGAGGGAGAUCCCCCACACUGGUACUGAGACACGGACCAGACUCCUACGGGAGGCAGCAGUGAGGAAUAUUGGUCAAUGGGCGCAAGCCUGAACCAGCCAUGCCGCGUGCAGGAUGACGGUCCUAUGGAUUGUAAACUGCUUUUGUACGAGAAGAAACACUGAUUCGUGAAUCAGCUUGACGGUAUCGUAAGAAUAAGGAUCGGCUAACUCCGUGCCAGCAGCCGCGGUAAUACGGAGGAUCCAAGCGUUAUCCGGAAUCAUUGGGUUUAAAGGGUCCGUAGGCGGUCUUGUAAGUCAGUGGUGAAAGCCCAUCGCUCAACGAUGGAACGGCCAUUGAUACUGCAGGACUUGAAUUAUUGGGAAGUAACUAGAAUAUGUAGUGUAGCGGUGAAAUGCUUAGAGAUUACAUGGAAUACCAAUUGCGAAGGCAGGUUACUACCAAUUGAUUGACGCUGAUGGACGAAAGCGUGGGUAGCGAACAGGAUUAGAUACCCUGGUAGUCCACGCCGUAAACGAUGGAUACUAGCUGUUGGGAGCAAUUUCAGUGGCUAAGCGAAAGUGAUAAGUAUCCCACCUGGGGAGUACGAACGCAAGUUUGAAACUCAAAGGAAUUGACGGGGGCCCGCACAAGCGGUGGAGCAUGUGGUUUAAUUCGAUGAUACGCGAGGAACCUUACCAAGGCUUAAAUGCAGACUGACCGAUUUGGAAACAGAUCUUUCGCAAGACAGUUUACAAGGUGCUGCAUGGUUGUCGUCAGCUCGUGCCGUGAGGUGUCAGGUUAAGUCCUAUAACGAGCGCAACCCCUGUUGUUAGUUGCCAGCGAGUGAUGUCGGGAACUCUAACAAGACUGCCAGUGCAAACUGUGAGGAAGGUGGGGAUGACGUCAAAUCAUCACGGCCCUUACGCCUUGGGCUACACACGUGCUACAAUGGCCGGUACAGAGAGCAGCCACUGGGUGACCAGGAGCGAAUCUAUAAAGCCGGUCACAGUUCGGAUCGGAGUCUGCAACUCGACUCCGUGAAGCUGGAAUCGCUAGUAAUCGGAUAUCAGCCAUGAUCCGGUGAAUACGUUCCCGGGCCUUGUACACACCGCCCGUCAAGCCA